UGGUAGUCUACGCCGUAAACGAUGGUCACUAGCUGUCCGAGCUUAAUUGAGGCUUGGUGGUUAAGCGAAAGUGAUAAGUAGACCACCUGGGGAGUACGUUCGCAAGAAUGAAACUCAAAGGAAUUGACGGGGGCCCGCACAAGCGGUGGAGCAUGUGGUUUAAUUCGAUGAUACGCGAGGAACCUUACCAGGGCUUAAAUGUAGUCUGACGUAUCUGGAAACAGAUAUUUCUUCGGACAGAUUACAAGGUGCUGCAUGGUUGUCGUCAGCUCGUGCCGUGAGGUGUCAGGUUAAGUCCUAUAACGAGCGCAACCCCUGUGGUUAGUUGCCAGCGAGUAAUGUCGGGAACUCUAGCCAGACUGCCGGUGCAAACCGCGAGGAAGGUGGGGAUGACGUCAAAUCAUCACGGCCCUUACGUCCUGGGCCACACACGUGCUACAAUGGUAGGGACAGAGAGCAGCCACUUCGCGAGAAGGAGCGAAUCUACAAACCCUAUCACAGUUCGGAUCGCAGUCUGCAACUCGACUGCGUGAAGCUGGAAUCGCUAGUAAUCGCAUAUCAGCCAUGAUGCGGUGAAUACGUUCCCGGGCCUU
Molecule: ribosomal RNA, 593 nt
Filed under: uncultured Bacteroidota bacterium
Lineage: Bacteria; Pseudomonadati; Bacteroidota
Description: bacterial SSU rRNA
Rfam family: Bacterial small subunit ribosomal RNA
Source: RNAcentral